UGGGGAAUUUUGGACAAUGGGCGAAAGCCUGAUCCAGCAAUGCCGCGUGUGUGAAGAAGGCCUUCGGGUUGUAAAGCACUUUUGUCCGGAAAGAAAUCCUUGGCUCUAAUACAGUCGGGGGAUGACGGUACCGGAAGAAUAAGCACCGGCUAACUACGUGCCAGCAGCCGCGGUAAUACGUAGGGUGCAAGCGUUAAUCGGAAUUACUGGGGCGUAAAGCGUGCGCAGGCGGUUUGCUAAGACCGAUGUGAAAUCCCCGGGCUCAACCUGGGAACUGCAUUGGUGACUGGCAGGCUAGAGUAUGGCAGAGGGGGGUAGAAUUCCACGUGUAGCAGUGAAAUGCGUAGAGAUGUGGAGGAAUACCGAUGGCGAAGGCAGCCCCCUGGCAAGUACUGACGCUCAUGCACGAAAGCGUGGGGAGCAAACAGGAUUAGAUACCCUGGUAGUCCACGCCCUAAACGAUGUCAACUAGUUGUUGGGGAUUCAUUUUCCUUAGUAACGUAGCUAACGCGUGAAGUUGACCGCCUGGGGAGUACGGUCGCAAGAUUAAAACUUAAAUGAAUUGAC
RNAcentral lists this ribosomal RNA (567 nucleotides) under uncultured bacterium. RNAcentral's name for it is "partial 16S ribosomal RNA". It matches the Rfam family "Bacterial small subunit ribosomal RNA", at positions 355 to 914 of the family's 1533-position model. The record is from RNAcentral.